Molecule: small nucleolar RNA, 139 nt
Filed under: Setaria italica (foxtail millet)
Lineage: Eukaryota; Viridiplantae; Streptophyta; Magnoliopsida; Poales; Poaceae
Description: Small nucleolar RNA Z247
Rfam family: Small nucleolar RNA Z247
About the family: Z247 is a member of the C/D class of snoRNA which contain the C (UGAUGA) and D (CUGA) box motifs. Most of the members of the box C/D family function in directing site-specific 2'-O-methylation of substrate RNAs.
Source: Rfam by way of RNAcentral
CCGCUUGAUGAUGACGAGCUCAUCAACCACAUCAUCACCAGUCUCGACUCCGAGUACAACCCCAUCGUGUCAGCCAUCCUCACACGGACUGACUCGAUGACGAUUGCUGAGCUCUAUGCUUAGCUUCUCGUGUUUGAAA